Long non-coding RNA from Paramisgurnus dabryanus, 1589 nucleotides. RefSeq lists it as uncharacterized. Lineage: Eukaryota; Metazoa; Chordata; Actinopteri; Cypriniformes; Cobitidae. The record is from RefSeq and is a predicted model, not a curated record.
CACCCUUCAGGUGCGACCGCUUUACCUAUGGCUUGACGGGAAGAUUCAAAAUCGCGAACCGUUACUGCAUGGAUUACUCUCGGGCUCUUUGUUUGCUCCUCGACAUUACGAGGUCAUGUACACUGUGGUCAACUUUGUGGACGAUGAAGAGGUUUCUGGGUAAAGAUGAUAGAAAUAUAACGAAGUAACAGUGAAAGCUAAAACAUCAGACUGAUCUAGACACUGAAGAAAUUGAUGUCACUGCAAUCUGGCCAAAAUGAUACAACUAUAUUGAAGUAGCCUACUGUAAUGAAGCUGCAGAACAACACAGAGACUCUGAGGACAUCAACACAGAAAAUGAAGGCUCCAAAGAGAUGUCUGUCCAGAUGAGGGUGCAUCAACUUUACCUUUGCUGACAACAGUUAACUUAACUCAAACCAUUUAAGGAAAUCGGUUGCCUUAAACCCUUAAGUUUUAAAAAACAUACAUUUGAGUACUGUGAACUUAAGUCUUGUGCAAUUAUGCACUUAUAUUUAGGUAGUGUGAACUUAAAUAUAAGUGCAUAACUGCAUGUGACUCAAUUUUUUUAAGUUCACAGUACUCAAAUCUAUGUGUUUUAAAACUUGAAUGGUUUAAUGCAACCGGUUUUCUUAAAUGUGAGAAAGCUAUUGAAUCUACACUGCAAAAAAUCACUUUCUAGUAGAAAAACUAAAAAUUCUUAAAUCAAGAUGUAUUUUCUUGAUGAGCAAAAUUACCUUAGAAAAUAUGUGUAGUUUUUAGACAAAAAUAUACAAUUUAAGUAAAUUUGUGCCUAAACAAGCAAAAAUAUCUCAACAGUGGAGUGAGAAAAUUGUGCUUAAAUUAAGUUUUUAUGAAAAAAGAAAACUUAAGAUUUUUUUCUCACACCAUUGGCAGAUAUUUUUGCUUGUUUUAAGCACAAAUUCACUUAAAGUGUGUGUGUGUUUAUUUAUUUUGUCUAAAACUAGACUUAUUUUCUUAGGUCAUUUUGUUCAUCAAGAAAAAGCAUUUUAAUUUAAAUAAUAUUUCUACUGAAAACAAGACAAUAAUACUAUGUAAGAGUCAUUUUUUGCAGUGUAGGACUGAUUUCUUAAAGCAAGAUCAAUAUAGUUGUUGUUCAUUUUAUUUAGAUAUUUACUACAUUACAGUGGCAGCUGGGGACUUGUUUUUUGUGAGCACUUGAUGCGAAGUUUGUCACAACAUGUAUACAGCCCGUCAUUUGUGUGGUUCCCAAUUUCAAAAUAUGUGUUCUGCGUGUCGAGUGCGUGUAUGUGUAUCACGUGUUUUGACUAAACACGUGAUGCACAUGGUUUACAUGAAGCAACAAAAACAUUUUAAAAACACAAGCAACACACAUGACACUCCGAACACUUAUUUUGAAUUUGCAACCGCCACUGCUACAUUACAUUGUACUGCUUUGAAUGUAGUUUUCAUUGUUGCUUUUAUUUUGUUUUAUUUUACUCUAAUAUUGCUUUCUCUGUCUGUAUAUUUAUAAGUUUAAAUAGUAUUGUUUAUGUAUGCAACUUCUAAUAUUUAUGUGUAAUAUUAUUUUGUGAUUGUGACAAUUGUGGAUUGUUCAGUUUUUUAUUAAA